AACGUAGGAGACGAGCGUUAUCCGGAUUUACUGGGCGUAAAGCGCGUGCAGGUGGCUGGGUAAGUCGGGCAUGAAAUCUCUUGGCUCAACUGAGAGAGGCUGUCCGAUACUAUCUGGCUUGAGGGCAUUAGAGGGCGGUGGAAUUCCCUGUGUAGUGGUGAAAUGCGUAGAGAUAGGGAGGAACACCAGUGGCGAAAGCGACCGCCUGGAAUGCAUCUGACACUCAGACGCGAAAGCUAGGGGAGCGAACGGG
This 253-nucleotide ribosomal RNA is filed under the name uncultured bacterium. RNAcentral's name for it is "partial 16S ribosomal RNA". It matches the Rfam family "Bacterial small subunit ribosomal RNA", at positions 524 to 776 of the family's 1533-position model. The record is from RNAcentral.